Molecule: long non-coding RNA, 989 nt
Organism: Lynx canadensis (Canada lynx)
Lineage: Eukaryota; Metazoa; Chordata; Mammalia; Carnivora; Felidae
Exons: 2
Source: RefSeq, a predicted model, not a curated record
AGAUUUACUUCUAAGUAAUAUCUACACUCAUUGUGGGGCUGGAACUCACAACCCUGACAUCAGGACCCUCAGGCUCCACCAACGGAACCAGCCGGGCACCCUUAAUAUAUAUUUAAAGGCUGGAGAAGAAGUCUCCGUGUAGCACUAAAAGAAGCCCCAGAUUUCACAUUGGAUGGCCCUCCUCUGAGGUCCCCUAGCCGACUUUUGAGUUUCUCUCUGUUCCCUCCUCCCACUCAUUCUCUUUCCGUCUGUCACCCCACUGCCUGUCAACUCUGAAUCCCAAGUUCUUCUACAGGACAGAGCAAUUCAGGUCUGUCAAGCUCCUGCCACCAAACUCACCCCGGAUCCAUCUGUGCUCGGGAGAAAUGAAGGGCUUUCUCUCCGGUCACUUUCAUUGUCCUCCUGUGUGGGGCUCAUAAGCUUUUAAAAUAUAAGUUUCCUCCUCCGUAUAUUUUGAAAGGAUCCUGACAGAGGCCCGGGUUUCGGGUUUUCUGGUGGCUUGGAAUGCUCAGGUCACGGGUUGGCUGAAGACACCUGGCUGUUGCCCUCCGACUGGUCAGCUUGUCCUGACCGAGGGCCCUGCACGCUGGGACAGCAGCCCGCAGCCUCAGCCCCAGGCAGCACUGUGGGUGGAUGGCAACCCAGGAAGUGGCCCCUAAGCGGCUCCACCCAAAGGGGAUAGAUCCUACUCGAGCAAGGCCAUCAACCUGAUUCUGCAGAGAAUGUGCUCAGGUUGGUCCCUGGGAGGGAGAACACUUCAGAGACACAGAAAAACCACAAGACAGAGAUGACAGCUGUUGUCCCGGCCCCCUCGCCCAUCAGGGCUGCUCCCCCAAGCUCACUCGAGUGCAGACUCCUGGCCCCAGCCCCCAAGUGAUUCAGGGUGAGGGCAUGGGAUCCGCAUUUUUAAGUUCCCUAGGUGAUUCUGAUGUGGAAGAUUCCAGAAGUGCAGUUCCAGAGGCACUGAUGUAGGGCCUGAAUUCGGGGAG